Molecule: ribosomal RNA, 253 nt
Filed under: uncultured bacterium
Lineage: Bacteria
Description: partial 16S ribosomal RNA
Rfam family: Bacterial small subunit ribosomal RNA
Source: RNAcentral
UACGGAGGGUGCGAGCGUUGUCCGGAAUCAUUGGGCGUAAAGGGCGCGUAGGUGGCGGGACAAGCGUGCGGGGAAAGCCUGGGGCUCAACCCCGGGUCGGCCGUGCGAACUGUUUUGCUUGAGCACUGUAGAGGCAGGCGGAAUUCCGGGUGUAGCGGUGGAAUGCGUAGAGAUCCGGAAGAACACCGGUGGCGAAGGCGGCCUGCUGGGCAGUAGCUGACACUGAGGCGCGACAGCGUGGGGAGCAAACAGG